This 512-nucleotide ribosomal RNA is filed under the name uncultured bacterium. Its description in RNAcentral is "partial 16S ribosomal RNA". It matches the Rfam family "Bacterial small subunit ribosomal RNA", at positions 28 to 523 of the family's 1533-position model. The record is from RNAcentral.
GAUGAACGCUGGCGGCGUGCCUAAUACAUGCAAGUCGAGCGAAUGAUGAGGAGCUUGCUCCUCUGAUUUAGCGGCGGACGGGUGAGUAACACGUGGGUAAUCUGCCUGUAAGACGGGGAUAACUCCGGGAAACCGGGGCUAAUACCGGAUAAUAAGAGAAGAAGCAUUUCUUCUUUUUGAAAGUCGGUUUCGGCUGACACUUACAGAUGAGCCCGCGGCGCAUUAGCUAGUUGGUGAGGUAACGGCUCACCAAGGCGACGAUGCGUAGCCGACCUGAGAGGGUGAUCGGCCACACUGGGACUGAGACACGGCCCAGACUCCUACGGGAGGCAGCAGUAGGGAAUCUUCGGCAAUGGGCGAAAGCCUGACCGAGCAACGCCGCGUGAGCGAUGAAGGCCUUCGGGUCGUAAAGCUCUGUUGUUAGGGAAGAACAAGUACGAGAGUAACUGCUCGUACCUUGACGGUACCUAACCAGAAAGCCACGGCUAACUACGUGCCAGCCGCCGCAGUAA